Molecule: ribosomal RNA, 325 nt
Filed under: uncultured eukaryote
Lineage: Eukaryota
Description: partial 18S ribosomal RNA
Rfam family: Eukaryotic small subunit ribosomal RNA
Source: RNAcentral
CCCUUAGAUGUUCUGGGCCGCACACGCGCUACACUGAAGGAGGCAGCGUGUACUCCUGGAUCGAAAGAUUUGGGUAACCCGCGAAUCUCCUUCGUGCUAGGGAUUGAGGUUUGCAAUUAUCCUUCAUGAACGAGGAAUUCCCAGUAAGUGCAAGUCAUAAGCUUGCGCUGACUACGUCCCUGCCCUUUGUACACACCGCCCGUCGCUACUACCGAUUGAAUGGUCCGGUGAAGCGUUUGGACUAUGGUUUUCUGACGGUUCGCCAUUGGAUUACCGUGGGAAAUUCGUUAAACCUUAUCAUUUAGAGGAAGGAGAANUCGUAACA